ACAAAUCUUCAACACAAACCCUGUGUAAACGUUUGCGUUCCCUUGUGUGGAAGCAUGUGAGGUGGGUGAGGCUAGGCAACUGGCCCCACUCGUCGCCACGCCACCCCAAGGGAUCGUCUUUAUUAUACUAUUGAUUGACAGCCUAGAUACAAAGUUAACUAAAA
Molecule: unclassified non-coding RNA, 164 nt
Filed under: uncultured fungus
Lineage: Eukaryota; Fungi
Description: sequence contains ITS1, 5.8S rRNA gene
Source: RNAcentral